GAUGAACGCUGGCGGCGUGCUUAACACAUGCAAGUCGAACGGGAAACCUUUUAUUGAAGCUUCGGCAGAUUUAGCUGGGUUCUAGUGGCGGACGGGUGAGUAACGCGUGGGUAACCUGCCUUAUACAGGGGGAUAACAGUCAGAAAUGGCUGCUAAUACCGCAUAAGCGCACAGAGCUGCAUGGCUCAGUGUGAAAAACUCCGGUGGUAUAAGAUGGACCCGCGUUGGAUUAGCUGGUUGGUGGGGUAACGGCCCACCAAGGCGACGAUCCAUAGCCGGCCUGAGAGGGUGAACGGCCACAUUGGGACUGAGACACGGCCCAGACUCCUACGGGAGGCAGCAGUGGGGAAUAUUGCACAAUGGGGGAAACCCUGAUGCAGCGACGCCGCGUGAAGGAAGAAGUAUCUCGGUAUGUAAACUUCUAUCAGCAGGGAAGAUAAUGACGGUACCUGACUAAGAAGCCCUGGCUAACUACGUG
Molecule: ribosomal RNA, 478 nt
Filed under: uncultured bacterium
Lineage: Bacteria
Description: partial 16S ribosomal RNA
Rfam family: Bacterial small subunit ribosomal RNA
Source: RNAcentral